Molecule: small RNA, 1204 nt
Filed under: Arabidopsis thaliana (thale cress)
Lineage: Eukaryota; Viridiplantae; Streptophyta; Magnoliopsida; Brassicales; Brassicaceae
Description: ATSL037000
Source: RNAcentral
AGUCGAAUGCAAUGGAUUGUGAUACCUUUUGACCAUAAAAACACUAACAAAGCUAUUUACUGCUUCUAAGCAAUAUUUUGUUGGUUAUACCUUCUUUUGUGAGUAAAUGGGUAUAAGUGUUGUCUAAACACUUCUAAUCCAUCGCUAGCUCUUAUAAUUAGUCAAAUGCAUUGGAUUGUAUCACAUUUUGACCAUAGAAACACUAAAAAAUCUAUUGACUGCUUCGAAGCAAGUUUUGUUAGUUUGACACUCUUUUGGGAGAAAAUGGGUAUAAGUGUUGUCUAAACUAUUCUAAUCCAUCUCUAACUCUUAUAAUUAGUCAAAUGCAUUGGAUUGUGACACAUUUUGACUAUAGAAACACUAACAAAUCUACUGACUGCUUCUAAGCAAGUUUUGUUGGUUUUAGCCUCUUUUGGGAGGAAAUGGGUAUAAGUAUUGUCUAAACACUUCUUAUCCAUCUCUAACUCUUAUAAUUAGUCAAUUGCAUUGGAUUGUGACACAUUAUGACCAUAGAAAAACUAACAAAUCUAUUGACUGCUUCUAAGCAAGUUUUGUUUGUUUUAGCCUCUUUUGGUAGAAAAUGGGUAUAAGUGGUGUCUAAACACUCCUAAUCCAUCUCUAACUCUUAUAAUUAGUCGAAUGCAUUGGAUUGUGAUAUCUUUUGACCAUAAAAACACUAACAAAGCUAUUUACUGCGUCUAAGCAAAUGUUUGUUGGCUUAGCCUCUUUUGGGAUAAAAUAGGUAUAAGUGUUGUCUAAACACUUGUAAUCCAUCUCUAACUCUUAUAAUUAGUCGAAUGCAUUGGAUUGUGAUACCUUUUGACCAUAAAAACACUAACAAAGCUAUUUAGUGCUUCUAAGCAAUAUUUUGUUGGUUAUCGCUUCUUUUGUGAGUAAAUGGGUAUAAGUGUUGUCUAAACACUCCUAAUCCAUCGCUAGCUCUUAUAAUUAGUCAAAUGCAUUGGAUUGUGACAUAUUUUGACCAGAGAAACACUAACAAAUCUAUUGAGUUGUUCUAAGCAAGUUUUGUUGGUUUUAGCCUCUUUUGGGAGGAAAUGGGUAUAAGUAUUGUCUAAACACUUAUUAUCCAUCUCUAACUCUUAUAUUAGUCAAUUGCAUUGGAUUGUGACACAUGUUGACCAUAGAAACGCUAACAAAUAUAUUGACUGCUUCUAAGCAAGUUUUGUUUGUUUUAGCCUCUUUC